AUCAUUGUCGUCUCCUUCUGUACAUAUAUUUUGUGGCUCGUCUUUUGUACUUGAGACAUGUCCUUUGCAGUUGCGUAUAUUUUUGUAUGUUGGUCCACUUUUGGGACUUGUACUCUUAGUAUGGCUCUGUACUUGUGACUUCCAGGUUGUGGGAGGGAUUCAGUUCUUAUGUAUGUAUUCUUUUGGCUUGCCUUAUU
Solanum stenotomum is the source of this 197-nucleotide long non-coding RNA. RefSeq lists it as uncharacterized. NCBI's taxonomy places the organism in Eukaryota, Viridiplantae, Streptophyta, Magnoliopsida, Solanales, Solanaceae. The transcript is spliced from 2 exons. The record is from RefSeq and is a predicted model, not a curated record.